CGAAAUCGGGUAGCGGUACGGACUUAAAAUCCGUCGACUUUAGAAAUCGUGAGGGUUCAAGUCCCUCUAUCCCCA
This 75-nucleotide transfer RNA is filed under the name Caladium bicolor. Its description in RNAcentral is "partial tRNA-Leu". It matches the Rfam family "tRNA", at positions 11 to 71 of the family's 71-position model. From Rfam's summary of the family: Transfer RNA (tRNA) molecules are approximately 80 nucleotides in length. Their secondary structure includes four short double-helical elements and three loops (D, anti-codon, and T loops). Lineage: Eukaryota; Viridiplantae; Streptophyta; Magnoliopsida; Alismatales; Araceae. The record is from RNAcentral.